UAAUGCAAUGACUGUACGUCGCUCUGGACAAGAGCGUCUGCUAAAUGACCAAAA
Non-coding RNA from Salmo salar (Atlantic salmon), 54 nucleotides. The record is from Rfam. NCBI's taxonomy places the organism in Eukaryota, Metazoa, Chordata, Actinopteri, Salmoniformes, Salmonidae.